CGCGUAGGCGGCUUGUUAAGUUCGGGGUGAAAUCUCCCGGCCCAACUGGGAGGGGUCCUCGGAUACUGGCAGGCUAAGAGGAGAGCAGAGGAGAGUGGAAUUCCCGGUGUAGUGGUGGAAUGCGUAGAUAUCGGGAGGAACACCAGUGGCGAAGGCGGCUCUCUGGGCUCUGCCUGACGCUGAGGCGCGAAAGCGUGGGGAGCGAACCGGAUUAGAUACCCGGGUAGUCCACGCCGUAAACGUUGGACACUAGGUGUAGGGGGUAUCGACCCCCUCUGUGCCGAAGCUAACGCUUUAAGUGUCCCGCCUGGGGAGUACGGCCGCAAGGCUAAA
This 333-nucleotide ribosomal RNA is filed under the name uncultured bacterium. RNAcentral's name for it is "bacterial SSU rRNA". It matches the Rfam family "Bacterial small subunit ribosomal RNA", at positions 568 to 898 of the family's 1533-position model. The record is from RNAcentral.